CCGCAUCUGUGCAUGCAGCAUAUCAAUAAGCGGAGGAAAAGAAACUAACAAGGAUUCCCCUAGUAACGGCGAGUGAAGCGGGAAGAGCUCAAAUUUGAAAUCUUAAAGGGUUUCCCUUUACGAAUUGUAGUUUAAAGAAGUGUUUUCUGUUGAGGUUUUGGUAAAAGUUCUUUGGAAUAGGACAUCAUAGAGGGUGAGAAUCCCGUAUUUGACCUUUACUUUCAACUUUGUGAUACACUUUCAAAGAGUCGGAUUGUUUGGGAAUGCAGUCCAAAAUGGGUGGUAAAUUUCAUCUAAAGCUAAAUAUUGGCGAGAGACCGAUAGCGAACAAGUACCGUGAGGGAAAGAUGAAAAGAACUUUGAAAAGAGAGUUAAACAGUACGUGAAAUUGUCAAAAGGGAAGCGUUUGACACCAGUGUUGUUUUUCUGAAAAUCAAUUAAAGAACUGUUUAUGCUAAGCUGUUUAGACUUUAUCAGCUAUCUGUUUAGUUUUGAGCUUUUCUUUAAUGCACUUUUCAGUUAACAAGUCAACAUCAAUUUCUUUUGCUGUAAAAAAGCUUGAGGAAGGUGGCUUGAGAUUCGUCUUAAGUGUUUAUAGCCUCUUGCCUAUGCAGUCGGAGAGAUUGAGGUCUGCAGCGUAGAUCCUUCGGGGCUAAAUGCAUUUGUGCUAAGUUAUAGCAUUUUAUAGACAACUUGUUGACUAUGAUUUGUCUUGUAGCUUACUCGCUUAUGUUAUUUUACCUACGCUUAGGAUGUUGAAUCUGUGCGAGACUAC
Molecule: ribosomal RNA, 775 nt
Filed under: uncultured Neocallimastigales
Lineage: Eukaryota; Fungi; Neocallimastigomycota; Neocallimastigomycetes; Neocallimastigales
Description: partial large subunit ribosomal RNA
Rfam family: Eukaryotic large subunit ribosomal RNA
Source: RNAcentral